UGAAUGAUUGUGGGUGUUCUGUCAGAAC
This 28-nucleotide non-coding RNA is filed under the name Rattus norvegicus (Norway rat). The record is from RNAcentral. Lineage: Eukaryota; Metazoa; Chordata; Mammalia; Rodentia; Muridae.